AUUGGAGAUAGCGAGUGAAGUUUGUAUGUGCGCGCGCCAGCCCGAGCCAAAGCAAAUCAAAUCAUCCCCAUCCGAUCGCGGUGGAGGAAAGCAGCCCGGGUUUUUACUUCCCUAUCCUGACACGAGUCCCACUCCAGGAAUGAGCAGCCCUGAUGCUGGUUACGCCAGUGACGACCAGACUCAGAGUAGGUGCCAUAUGGCGGGAAUGCUGCCGGCGAUGGGACCCUGCCAGUGGGCUGAAUCCAUGAGUUCCCUCGGGGAUGCCAAGGUUGGCAGCGCCGCCGAUCAGGCGAACAAUGCCAACCGAUCCAAGUCUGAAAACCGCAUCCGUCGGCCCAUGAACGCCUUCAUGGUCUGGGCAAAGGACGAACGCAAGAGGCUCGCUCAACAAAACCCGGACCUGCACAACGCCGAGCUGAGCAAGAUGCUGGGUAAAUCAUGGAGAGGGCUUUCCUUAGCUGAGAAACGUCCCUUUGUGGAAGAGGCAGAAAGGCUUCGGGUCCAGCACAUGAAGGAACAUCCCAACUACAAAUACCGGCCCCGGCGGAGAAAGCAGAUCAAGAGAAUUAAGCGGGUGGACACGGGUCUCCUGAUGCACAGCAUGUCCGAGCAACAGCUGGGCAAUGAGGGGCGGGUAUGUAACCAGAAUAUUAACCUCACGUACCACGACACCGGCUACUGUCUCCAAAACCAGAUUCCUCCGCUCAGCCAUUACAGGGAAGCGCAGACCAUGGCAGCCAGUGUGGACAGUUUCGGCUUGCCAACCCCGGAGACCUCUCCUUUGGAUGUGCUAGAAGCAAGUUCCGUAUUUUUCCCUCCGCAUUUACAGGAAGAUUGCCAAAUGAUGCCUUACGGGAACAGUCCCGGUUACCACCACCACCACCAGCAGCAACAGCAGCAGCACCAUUCCGAGUAUUCCGCGCAGGAAACCCAGAUAGCCAUGUUCCGAAGGCACCGAGCUGAGCUGGGCCUUCCCCAGAGUGAUCAGAUGGGACACGACAGUGGUUUCCAUGGGGUGCUCAGCUCUUGCCACAACGUGGUAGCAAUGUACUACAACCAGAUGUGCUCGUCAAACAGCCAGCGGCCCCAGCAUGUGCACGCAGGACAACUCUCGCCACCACCUGACGCGCACCAUGUGGAUAACCUUGAGCACCUCAGCCAGGCAGACCUGCUAGCGGAUGUAGAUCGCAAUGAGUUCGAGCAAUACCUCACGUCGGUUUCUCGACCUGACCUGGCCGGACUUGCCUAUAAUGCACCAGAAGCAAAUCCAAAUGGAUUGACUUCUGCAGAGAGUAAUCUGAUCUCGUCUGUCCUUUCGGACGCCAGUAGUGCCAUGUAUUACUCCAAUUUCCCCUCGGCAUAGGGGACUACCUUUUUUUAAAAAAAAGACUAUAGGCAAAAAAAUAUCGACAGUAUUAAAAACCAAAAAUGCUUUUCUUAAAUUGUAGUUGUCCUCAGGGUGUUUUGAAAAUGUUGCCUGAUAUUUAAAGGUUGUAUAUUUAAAAUAUCUUUGCUUUCAUUUUAUGCUUCAGAUCAAUUCUACGGGGGUUGGGAGGGGGCUGCUGUUUUUGUGUCUUUCAGAAUACAAUGAUCGAAAAACAUUGUACUUUUUUAUCUCUUGGAAUUUUAUUUUUAAUAGGGAAAUUUGUAGAACCAAGUGUCUUCCACAAGCAGCGGCCCGCAGUUUGUACUGGAUAAGAAUUGCUUCAGCAAUCAUUAUGAAAUUCUCAGGAGGAGCAAGUCAACGCCGAUCAUCUCUCGAUAACCAUUAGUCCCGAUUGUUGACCUGCAUUUUAACGCUAUAUGAAAGAAUCAUGAGCAGAGAUCCUUGAAAUAGGCGGUUGUAGGCAGAGUAACAUUGACCUCUUCUACAAUCCCGCCCCCAGCCCGGCCUGGCGCGAGGGUCAGAUGGUCACAUUUACUGUUUAAAGCUCCCCUUUUCUGCUUUUCUCAGUUUGUCAAUAAAAACGUUUGCUGCAUAACC
Molecule: RNA transcript, 1984 nt
Organism: Carcharodon carcharias (great white shark)
Lineage: Eukaryota; Metazoa; Chordata; Chondrichthyes; Lamniformes; Lamnidae
Gene name: transcription factor Sox-17-alpha-A-like
Exons: 3
Source: RefSeq, a predicted model, not a curated record